UUGCCAUAUUUGGCAGCACAGAUACUAAAAUUGAAGUAUAACAAUAUUAGCAUGGCUCCUGUGCAAGGAUGACACACAAACUGGGGAUGCAUUCCAUAUUUUU
This is a small nuclear RNA of Acomys russatus (golden spiny mouse), 103 nucleotides long. The record is from RefSeq and is a predicted model, not a curated record. NCBI's taxonomy places the organism in Eukaryota, Metazoa, Chordata, Mammalia, Rodentia, Muridae.